This is a long non-coding RNA of Anolis carolinensis (green anole), 456 nucleotides long. RefSeq lists it as uncharacterized. The transcript has 2 exons. Lineage: Eukaryota; Metazoa; Chordata; Lepidosauria; Squamata; Anolidae. The record is from RefSeq and is a predicted model, not a curated record.
CUCGCCUUGGAGAUAAGACCCGCCUGCGCAGUUGGACACCCGCUAUUUCCCCGCCCUGGCUCAAGGCUGUGGAAAUCCGGGAUUUAGAGUUUGACAAGGAAUGCUUUCGCAAAACGCACCUCUCCCCAGUCAGCCCUGGCAGUCCAAAGUGGUGCCAAACCGUAUCAAUUCUACAGUGGAGACAAGGCUGUAGGCAAGGGGGUGGUUUAGAGGUUCAAACCACCCCCGAAAGGUAGAAAUGGUGGGAUAGACACAACCUUAAGCACACUAUGAAGUAAGCCUCAUCUAAUGUUUGUUCUUCGCUACCAUCAAGUCGACUUUGAAUUAUGACGGCUCAAUGAAUGAGACUUCCAAGUCACCCAGUCAUCAUCAGCAGCCUUGCUCAAUUGCUGAAAAUGUAUGGCCGUGGCUUCCUUGUCUGAAUCUAUUCAUCUGGAAUAAAUUCUUCCUCCUUUU